UCUAGUUUGCACAGGGCUCGCAGUGUUUG
This 29-nucleotide non-coding RNA is filed under the name Mus musculus (house mouse). Lineage: Eukaryota; Metazoa; Chordata; Mammalia; Rodentia; Muridae. The record is from RNAcentral.